RNAcentral lists this ribosomal RNA (774 nucleotides) under uncultured bacterium. RNAcentral's name for it is "bacterial SSU rRNA". It matches the Rfam family "Bacterial small subunit ribosomal RNA", at positions 8 to 770 of the family's 1533-position model. The record is from RNAcentral.
AGAGUUUGAUCCUGGCUCAGAGUGAACGCUGGCGGUAGGCCUAACACAUGCAAGUCGAACGGCAGCACAGUAAGAGCUUGCUCUUACGGGUGGCGAGUGGCGGACGGGUGAGGAAUACAUCGGAAUCUACUUUUUCGUGGGGGAUAACGUAGGGAAACUUACGCUAAUGCCGCAUACGACCUACGGGUGAAAGCAGGGGAUCUUCGGACCUUGCGCGAUUGAAUGAGCCGAUGUCGGAUUAGCUAGUUGGCGGGGUAAAGGCCCACCAAGGCGACGAUCCGUAGCUGGUCUGAGAGGAUGAUCAGCCACACUGGAACUGAGACACGGUCCAGACUCCUACGGGAGGCAGCAGUGGGGAAUAUUGGACAAUGGGCGCAAGCCUGAUCCAGCCAUACCGCGUGGGUGAAGAAGGCCUUCGGGUUGUAAAGCCCUUUUGUUGGGAAAGAAAUCCAGCUGGUUAAUACCCGGUUGGGAUGAUGGUACCCAAAGAAUAAGCACCGGCUAACUUCGUGCCAGCAGCCGCGGUAAUACGAAGGGUGCAAGCGUUACUCGGAAUUACUGGGCGUAAAGCGUGCGUAGGUGGUUGUUUAAGUCUGUUGUGAAAGCCCUGGGCUCAACCUGGGAACUGCAGUGGAAACUGGACGACUAGAGUGUGGUAGAGGGUAGCGGAAUUCCUGGUGUAGCAGUGAAAUGCGUAGAGAUCAGAGGAACAUCCAUGGCGAAAGCAGCUACCUGGACCAACACUGACACUGAGGCACGAAAGCGUGGGGAGCA